Molecule: ribosomal RNA, 524 nt
Filed under: uncultured bacterium
Lineage: Bacteria
Description: partial 16S ribosomal RNA
Rfam family: Bacterial small subunit ribosomal RNA
Source: RNAcentral
GACGAACGCUGGCGGCGUGCCUAAUACAUGCAAGUCGAGCGCAGGAAAUCGACGGAACCCUUCGGGGGGAAGUCGACGGAAUGAGCGGCGGACGGGUGAGUAACACGUAAAGAACCUGCCCUCAGGUCUGGGAUAACCACGAGAAAUCGGGGCUAAUACCGGAUGGGUCAUCGGACCGCAUGGUCCGAGGAUGAAAGGCGCUUCGGCGUCGCCUGGGGAUGGCUUUGCGGGGCAUUAGCUAGUUGGUGGGGUAAUGGCCCACCAAGGCGACGAUGCAUAGCCGACCUGAGAGGGGGAUCGGCCACACUGGGACUGAGACACGGCCCAGACUCCUACGGGAGGCAGCAGUAGGAAAUCUUCCACAAUGGACGAAAGUCUGAUGGAGCAACGCCGCGUGAACGAUGAAGGCCUUCGGGUCGUAAAGUUCUGUUGUAAGGGAAGAACAAGUGCCGCAGGCAAUGGCGGCACCUUGACGGUACCUUGCGAGAAAGCCACGGCUAACUACGUGCCAGCCGCCGCGGUAA